GAGAAACAGGGCUCUUUGACGGUGAUUACAAAACCUUUGAAACCAAAGUAAUAAUGAUAAUUGUAUUAUUAUUUUAAACAUCAAGUAUUAUUCUGAAGGCUAAAGAGAAGUUCAGUCAUGAGCAGCCAAUUUACCACAGUGUAUCUUUGUUAGAGCUUCUGCACUUAAAAAAAACCUGCUUGCUCUAAUUUGUCUUCUGACGAGAUCUGAGAUGUUGAUGGGGCAACAAGCCAAAGUCAUUUAAAGCAGAUAUGCUGCCCUGUGAAAAUGCAAUUUUUUCUUCAUCUAGUUAGUUCCAUGUCAUGCUAAUAAGGUUCUCUUAUGUAUUUUUUUUCAGGAUGAAUGGGAAAAAAAAAACAACAAACCUCUCUUCAGUGAACGUGAAGAAGUGGGUGGGGCUCUUCCACACAUUGACAAAUGCAGACUUCUUUUUUUUCACAGAUCAUGCUCUGGUUCCUGCCAGAACUCCCCUGUGGAAGGGGAGGAGAUCACACAGGCAGCAUGGAUACCUGUCCUACCCAAGCUCCUGCUCAUUUUCUUCUGAAGGCUUGUGGAGGAUUUUUCAGGAGAUAAUGAGGUGGGUUUUUUUUUUUUUUGUUGCAGUAACUUUAUUUUAUGGAUGA
RNAcentral lists this long non-coding RNA (623 nucleotides) under Anas platyrhynchos platyrhynchos (common mallard). Its description in RNAcentral is "lncRNA (ENSAPLG00000030963.1)". Lineage: Eukaryota; Metazoa; Chordata; Aves; Anseriformes; Anatidae. The record is from RNAcentral.